GCCUGAGUGGCGCAGUGGUUAACGCGUCUGUCUUGUACCACGCACGAGAACAGAAGACUCCUGGGUUCAAAUCCCAGCUUGGGCU
Transfer RNA from Trichosporon asahii var. asahii CBS 8904, 85 nucleotides. It matches the Rfam family "tRNA". From Rfam's summary of the family: Transfer RNA (tRNA) molecules are approximately 80 nucleotides in length. Their secondary structure includes four short double-helical elements and three loops (D, anti-codon, and T loops). Further hydrogen bonds mediate the characteristic L-shaped molecular structure. tRNAs have two regions of fundamental functional importance: the anti-codon, which is responsible for specific mRNA codon recognition, and the 3' end, to which the tRNAs corresponding amino acid is attached (by aminoacyl-tRNA synthetases). tRNAs cope with the degeneracy of the genetic code in two manners: having more than one tRNA (with a specific anti-codon) for a particular amino acid; and 'wobble' base-pairing, i.e. permitting non-standard base-pairing at the 3rd anti-codon position. The record is from Rfam. Lineage: Eukaryota; Fungi; Basidiomycota; Tremellomycetes; Trichosporonales; Trichosporonaceae.